RNAcentral lists this ribosomal RNA (512 nucleotides) under uncultured bacterium. RNAcentral's name for it is "bacterial SSU rRNA". It matches the Rfam family "Bacterial small subunit ribosomal RNA", at positions 15 to 518 of the family's 1533-position model. The record is from RNAcentral.
GAUUCUGGCUCAGGAUGAACGCUAGCUACAGGCUUAACACAUGCAAGUCGAGGGGCAGCAUGAUCGAAGCUUGCUUGAUGAUGGCGACCGGCGCACGGGUGAGUAACGCGUAUCCAACCUUCCCUAUAGUAGAGGAUAGCCCGGCGAAAGUCGGAUUAAUACUCUAUGUUUUCCAAUGCAGACAUCUAAGUUGGAACAAAGGUUCACCGCUAUAGGAUGGGGAUGCGUCUGAUUAGGUAGUCGGCGGGGUAACGGCCCACCGAGCCUACGAUCAGUAGGGGUUCUGAGAGGAAGGUCCCCCACAUUGGAACUGAGACACGGUCCAAACUCCUACGGGAGGCAGCAGUGAGGAAUAUUGGUCAAUGGGCGAGAGCCUGAACCAGCCAAGUAGCGUGCAGGAUGACGGCCCUAUGGGUUGUAAACUGCUUUUAUACGGGGAUAAAGUGAGGGACGUGUCCCUUUUUGUAGGUACCGUAUGAAUAAGGACCGGCUAAUUCCGUGCCAGCAGCAGC